Myotis davidii is the source of this 291-nucleotide long non-coding RNA. RefSeq lists it as uncharacterized. The transcript is spliced from 3 exons. The record is from RefSeq and is a predicted model, not a curated record. Lineage: Eukaryota; Metazoa; Chordata; Mammalia; Chiroptera; Vespertilionidae.
AUCAAGGAUACUUGCGUUGGGGAUUGUAGGGGAGAUGAAUCUGAGAGAAGACUAUAGGCCAAGUGGAGCUCAGAAGAACAGGCACAAGAAGCGAAGGUCACCACUGUGAGCCCUAUAAUAACCCUGCAGACUUCUUCCUGGAUGUCAUUAAUGGAGACUCCUCUGCUGUGGUAUUAAACAGAGAGGUCGAAGAUGGCGAAGUCAAGGAGACUGAAGAGCCUUCCAAGAGAGAUAAGCCACUCAUAGAAAAACUAGCUGAGUUUUAUGUCAACUCUGCCUUCUUCAAAGAAA